AUCCUUGUUUCCUAAAUCUUUUACAUAGAUUUGCCUCAAACUCCUCCCAAGGACUCACUUUUCCCUUAAUCCAGUUAUGAUACCCAUCAGCUUUGUCAACCAAAUACAAACUAACUAUUUCAAUCCUCUUUUCCUUAGGACCUUCAUAAACUUCAAAGGGUAAAUUACUAUUUAGUUCCUAUAUUUUGAAAAUACACUAUUUAGUCUCUGUAUUUUGUUUCUGUUAACCUAUUUAGUCUCUCAAUUAAUUUUUUCGUUAGUCAAUUCUCG
Molecule: unclassified non-coding RNA, 270 nt
Filed under: Hevea brasiliensis (rubber tree)
Lineage: Eukaryota; Viridiplantae; Streptophyta; Magnoliopsida; Malpighiales; Euphorbiaceae
Source: RNAcentral